Molecule: ribosomal RNA, 800 nt
Filed under: uncultured Parcubacteria group bacterium
Lineage: Bacteria
Description: bacterial SSU rRNA
Rfam family: Bacterial small subunit ribosomal RNA
Source: RNAcentral
GAGUUUGAUCCUGGCUCAGGAUGAACGCUGGCGGCGUGGAUAAGGCAUGCAAGUCGAGUGGGUUUAGACCCACGGCAGACGAGGUAGGAACACGUAGGUAUCUACCCUCAAGUCGGAGAUAACCCAUCGAAAGGUGGAGUAAUAUUCGAUAGUCCCUCCGGGGUAAAGUCGUAAGACGCUUGAGGAAGAGCCUGCGGGCUAUCAGCUAGUUGGUAGGGUAAUGGCCUACCAAGGCGAUGACGGCUAGGGGAGCUGAGAGGCUGACCCCCACCGAUGGAACUGAGACACGGUCCAUACUCCUACGGGAGGCCGCAGUCGAGAAUCUUCCGCAAUGGGCGAAAGCCUGACGGAGCGACGCCGCGUGAUGGAUGAAGCACUUCGGUGCGUAAACAUCUUUUGUAGGGGAAGAAGCCAGCAAUGGUUUGACUGUACCCUAAGAAUAAGGGGUUGCUAAACUCGUGCCAGCAGCAGCGGUAAUACGAGUGCCCCAAGCGUUAUCCGGAAUUACUGGGCGUAAAGGGUGUGUAGGUGGUUUGGUUAGUCUGUCGUUAAAACUCCCGGCUUAACCGGGAAGGUGCGAUGGAAACGGCCAAACUCGAGAGGGUGAGAGGCAUAUGGAACUCAUGGUGUAGGGGUGAAAUCCGUUGAUAUCAUGGGGAACGCCAAAGGUGAAGACAGUAUGCUAGCACCUAUCUGACACUGAAACACGAAAGCGUGGGGAUCGAAUGGGAUUAGAUACCCCAGUAGUCCACGCCCUAAACGAUGAUCACUGGCUUUUCGGAGUAUCGACCCUCUGAGAG